Molecule: non-coding RNA, 406 nt
Organism: Penaeus vannamei (Pacific white shrimp)
Lineage: Eukaryota; Metazoa; Arthropoda; Malacostraca; Decapoda; Penaeidae
Source: RefSeq, a predicted model, not a curated record
AGAGUACAAGGAGACCCGUGACGUAGAACCGAACGGCGACGUCUACCGCUGUCCCAUCUGCGCCGAAGUCUGCUGGGAAGCUUCGUUCUUCAAGUCGUGGAGCAACGGAACUCUCUCCUUCGAGCUGGUCCUGAGCAUCCUCAACAGCAGUCGCACUCCAGAUCUCUCGGACGUCUUAGGCCUGUACCAGCCUUCGGAUGAGGACCUCGAGUCGUACUCCACCCCGGCCAAGGACUUCAUUCAGACGUGUAGCUUCGAUCGGCAGCCCUGUUCUCACAAGCAGUUCCACUCCUGGGUGAGCGACCAGUACGGAGUGUGUCACACCUUCAACUCCGCCUUCAGGAAGGUCGCGCUCAAGAAUGGCAAGACUGUCAGUGCUGUCCCGAGGAAGACUUCGUCGGUGGGA